AUGAGGACCUGCAGACUGUGUGCAUUGGAGAAAUCUUCUUGGAGUUUGUCAACAUGCUUCCAGCGUUUCAGACCUACUGCCUGCUGCAGUCCACAUCUGUGAACAUGCUCAACACACUGGAGAAAGAAAAAGAGCUUCUUAGGAUAUUCCUCGAUGUGUCCCAGAAUGACAACACGGCACUCAGGCGCAUGAACCUGCGCUCCUUCCUCAUGGCCCCCCUGCAGCGUGUGACCAAGUACCCAUUACUGCUAAGUCGCAUCAGCAAGGCCACCAACGAGUGUCACCCGGACUACUCCCGCUUAAAAGAAGCCAAGAGCCGCGUGGAGUCCCAUCUAGAGCACAUCAACAUGAAGACCAAACAGGAAGGGACCGCCACAUGGUCCUUGCGCUCUUUCCGGCGCGACAGCCGCAAGAACCGAGAAGUCAUCAACAUUGAGAUGAGAGAGCUGUCGAUGAAGACGGUGGGCUGGACACGAGAGAGCACACGGUUUAUCAUGGAGGGGCCGCUCCAGUUGGCACAGCCCGCCGAUGGCCAAUGGCAUAAGAAGGGAAGCAAAUCCCUCAAAUUCCAGAACGUUCAGAGUUUACUUAUGGUACGCACUCUGCGCAACACAGAAACGGUGACUGAAGGGAGUCUGGAGACCUCGGAGACGGUGCAGGACAGUGUACUGGUGCUCAUCAAGGACAAGAGCAGCGGGAAGUUCACUGUGUUACGGGAGCCAAUCCAUUUGGCAAACUGCGUGGUGUCCACCGACCCCGACUGUGAAGACACCUUUGAGGUGCUGGACAUUCGACGUGAGGCCUUCGUUUUCCGUGCCUCCGACAAACCUCGCACUCAGCAGUGGUUUCGCCAGAUCAAGAGAUACGCUUGUGAUUUGGGAUCCUGGAGAAAGAGACGCAAUGCUCUCCCUAAUAUCAUGAUUAACACAACCCAGAGCCGGUCCUGAGACUGAGUCCUUAGCGACACAUCCCUCAUCCCUUCCCAGCAUAACUCUGAUGUAAAUAAUAAUAAUUAAAAAAAUCAAUAUUUUGUUGAGCAAACAGUAUUUGUGUGGGAGAACCAUCCACCAAUUGACUUUUAAAUUGGUAGGUAUUAAUAUAGACUGCAAGAGGGCACUUUGUAUGAGUGGAAAGCAAGUUAAUGACGUUUGGGAAGAGGAAAAAUCCACUGUCAAGCAAAAAGUAAAUGCCCUUUGGCAUACCAAAAUGAGGUCCUUGUUUGGCGCCUCACUGCUGCACUUGUUUAAAACACUGAUUGUACAACCAGUUUGCCACUGAGAAAUGUUCUCAGUUGUGAAAUGGUUUUUGUGAUAAGCAUGAGGGAACAUGUUUGUGAUUGGAUGGACUUUAUAUGGACUUUUUAGUAUGCACAACGGAGUGGAAACCUGUGUUUUGUGUGAAGACUGAGGUAAAGCUGUUUUGUUUUCGGAUCAUUGUAAUUCCCUCUUCCUUUCUCUCUCUCUUCCGUUAGCAUCUAUUCCCA
Molecule: long non-coding RNA, 1483 nt
Filed under: Sinocyclocheilus anshuiensis
Lineage: Eukaryota; Metazoa; Chordata; Actinopteri; Cypriniformes; Cyprinidae
Description: lncRNA (ENSSANG00000030265.1)
Source: RNAcentral